GACGAACGCUGGCGGCGUGCCUAAUACAUGCAAGUAGAACGCUGAAGUGAGGAGCUUGCUCUUCUUGGAUGAGUUGCGAACGGGUGAGUAACGCGUAGGUAACCUGCCUUGUAGCGGGGGAUAACUAUUGGAAACGAUAGCUAAUACCGCAUAACAAUGGAUGACACAUGUCAUUUAUUUGAAAGGGGCAAUUGCUCCACUACAAGAUGGACCUGCGUUGUAUUAGCUAGUAGGUGAGGUAAUGGCUCACCUAGGCGACGAUACAUAGCCGACCUGAGAGGGUGAUCGGCCACACUGGGACUGAGACACGGCCCAGACUCCUACGGGAGGCAGCAGUAGGGAAUCUUCGGCAAUGGGGGCAACCCUGACCGAGCAACGCCGCGUGAGUGAAGAAGGUUGUCGGAUCGUAAAGCUCUGUUGUAAGUCAAGAACGGGUGUGAGAGUGGAAAGUUCACACUGUGACGGUAGCUUACCAGAAAGGGACGGCUAACUACGUG
This 497-nucleotide ribosomal RNA is filed under the name uncultured bacterium. RNAcentral describes it as "partial 16S ribosomal RNA". It matches the Rfam family "Bacterial small subunit ribosomal RNA", at positions 28 to 507 of the family's 1533-position model. The record is from RNAcentral.